This 393-nucleotide ribosomal RNA is filed under the name uncultured bacterium. Its description in RNAcentral is "partial 16S ribosomal RNA". It matches the Rfam family "Bacterial small subunit ribosomal RNA", at positions 523 to 918 of the family's 1533-position model. The record is from RNAcentral.
AUACGGAGGAUCCGGGCGUUAUCCGGAUUUAUUGGGUUUAAAGGGUGCGCAGGCGGGAGAUUAAGUCGGCGGUGAAAUUUUGCAGCUCAACUGUAAAAGUGCCUUCGAAACUGGUUUCCUUGAGUGUAGAUGAAGUAGGCGGAAUUUGUGGUGUAGCGGUGAAAUGCAUAGAUAUCACGAGGAACUCCGAUUGCGCAGGCAGCUUACUAAACUACUACUGACGCUCAGGCACGAAGGCGUGGGGAUCAAACAGGAUUAGAUACCCUGGUAGUCCACGCAGUAAACGAUGAUUACUAGCUGUUUGCGAUACAAUGUAAGCGGCUGAGCGAAAGCGUUAAGUAAUCCACCUGGGGAGUACGUUCGCAAGAAUGAAACUCAAAUGAAUUGACGGGG